CGCAUGCCCGAAGGGUGACAAUGCGACGCCGCGUGAGCGAUGAAGGCCUUCGGGUUGUAAAGCUCUGUCAGCAGGGAUGAAAACAAAGAGGUCAAUACCCUUUUUGUCUGACGGUACCUGCAGAGGAAGCUUCGGCUAACUCCGUGCCAGCAGCCGCGGUAAUACGGAGGAAGCAAGCGUUGUUCGGAUUUACUGGGUGUAAAGGUCAUGUAGGCGUCCCACUAAGUCGGGUGUGAAAUCCCUUAGCUCAACUAAGGAACUGCACUCGAUACUGGCGGGAUUGAGUACUUGAGAGGUAAGCGGAAUUCCGGAAGUAUGGGUGAAAUCAGUAGAUAUCCGGAAGAACACCAUUAGCGAAGGCGGCUUACUGGCAAGAUACUGACGCUGAAAUGAGAAAGCUAGGGUAGCAAACAGGAUUAGAUACCCUGGUAGUCCUAGCUGUAAACGAUGGGCACUAAGUAGAGGGG
RNAcentral lists this ribosomal RNA (467 nucleotides) under uncultured Planctomycetales bacterium. Its description in RNAcentral is "bacterial SSU rRNA". It matches the Rfam family "Bacterial small subunit ribosomal RNA", at positions 367 to 828 of the family's 1533-position model. Lineage: Bacteria; Pseudomonadati; Planctomycetota; Planctomycetia; Planctomycetales. The record is from RNAcentral.